RNAcentral lists this long non-coding RNA (2045 nucleotides) under Triticum aestivum (bread wheat). RNAcentral describes it as "long non-coding RNA (TAES_LNC016252)". The record is from RNAcentral. Lineage: Eukaryota; Viridiplantae; Streptophyta; Magnoliopsida; Poales; Poaceae.
GGUUAUGUUGAGACAACAUAGGCGGAGUCAACGAUAAGAUACAUCAGAGAUUUUUUUUUGAAAAUAGUUCUAGUCAGCAUGAUCAAGAAGAGCUUGCGUGAGUUGUCGUACUCAGACCCGGACUCGAUUUGCUUUUGUAGCGCCUCCUUCUUUGGACUGUACUCGCUUCCUGCGGUUCGGCAAAUAUAUAUAUUUCGAGACUAAGUCGAGUGAAUACGAGGGAAAUAAAAAUAUACGUCGGUGAAGUGUGGUCAUCCUACAGUCAAACAUUAUUAUUUCUUUUAUUACCUAGUAUUCUUUUUACUAAGCUUGCAUUAGUAGGUGGAUUUAGAAUAGAUAAUUAUUAGAUGUGCACCUGAUAAUUACUAGACCACAAUUCUACACGUGCCCUCUCCCUUUCUCAAUUUCCAAGUCUCUCUCUCCUGUACUAGUCCUCCACCGAACACAACACACACCAGUACUAGUCCACCAAGAACAGAACACACGUACAUGUCUUCUCUCCCUCCUAUUCCUCUGCUCCUAAACUAGCCAGACCGGCCAUGCCGCCGGUGACGGGGAAACAUGCUGCUCCGCCGCUGCCGGACCUUCCACCCUCUCUCUCUCCCCUGAUCCAAAUCCCUAUUUUUUUUUUCAGGAUUCAGCCCCAAACUCUCUAAUCCCCUCUCAGAUUUGACUUGCAGGUGAGGCUCUUAUCGGGCUUUGAUUUCGCUGCUCCAGAUCGAAGCUCCCGGCGUUGGCGGCCGCGGUGCGCUGGGUGUUGCAGAUCAGAGUUCAAAGGCAUAGCCAUGGAGCAUAUCGAGCAUAAGUGCAGGUUAGUGAUGCGCUUGUUCCUCUCCCUAUUUUUUUAUGCUCAAGUACUCAGAUUUAGUAAAUUAAUCUAGUCUCAUGUGCAUGUGUGUGUACUGAACCAAUUUCUCUUGUGCAAGAUGUGGGUGUACUAAUGUUGUACAAUAUCUUGUCUCCUUUUAUUAUACUUGCUUAAGGCACUAUCCAUGCUUUCUUGUACUGUUGAUUUUAAGAUCUGUGAUAGUUGAUACUACUGGAAUGAUUUAGCUUUUGUGUGCAUCUGUGAAGAACUAGUGAGGAAUAUUGUGGGUGCAUCUGGGUUGGGCUUCUUUGUGAGUGUGAGUGCUAAAGGAAUGACAGAAGAACUCACCUUUCUUCUUUUGCCUUCUCUGCUGUUUCUUCUAGUGCUGCUCCUACUUCCAGAUCCCAGUCUAGUUGGCUAACUUCUUGUUCUAGCCUUCCUCCUUUGAUCUACUAUGAUUUCUCAGGUCACCAUCUCUACUUAUUGUUCUUGGAUCUUUGUUGGUUGCAGAUAGAAAGACUAAGACAGUGGGAGGAAGACAAGUUGCUGGUUUGGCUUUUUGGGGAAGAAUGGAGACGACGUGUGAAGUCUUGGCAAUGGCUUGCUCUGCUCUCUCUCCUUUUAAUAUCAGAAAACCCUCUUCCUUGGCUGGUAUGGCUGCCCAUCCCUUCUUUACCGUGUUGCCUUUGUGGAGCCUUUCUAUUGGCUAGGAGUUGCAGCCCAUGCCUAGACCAACUGUUGGUCAAUUGACUACUGAUAUACAUAUUAUGCACGUGAUGGUGGUGGUCAAAUGUGUAUCUCAAAUGUGUCUUGCUGUCCUGGUUGACUCAGAGAUAUUUUUUUGUUGGUCUAAGUUUGAUGUGGCAUUGUUGUAUAGCUUAGCAUAGUCUGGUCUCCCUAUAUUUUUUUUGUUUCCAAAGAUUUGUAAUAUAACUGUACAACUAUACUGUUUGAGAUGUGUGAAUAUAAAUAUAUAUUUGAGUGGUUAUGCUUGUUGAAGAAAUCUGAAAUGUAUUUUUUUAGGAUGCUUAAUAAAUUGUACUUAAUUAUCUAAUUAAGGGUGGAAUUACUAUGUGACAAAAAUACGAGUCGUUACUGAUGGAUAAGUCUGUGUACUAGGGUCCUUGUGGGGCUGCAGCACAUGGUCCUUGUGGCAGUUAGGAGGAUAAAGUCCUGGACCAUCAAGGACUGGCUGUUAGGAUAGAGUUCUGUUCUUGACCAUCAAGGACUGUCAGUU